AUUUUACCAUAAAAAUAAUAUUUAUAAUGGAGUUGUCCCGGAAAAGAAUUCAUUUGCAAAAUGUUUGGUGGUUAAAAAAAAAAAAAACGCCAGUGAAGACAUUUUUAAUAAGAUAUGUGUGGGAAGGAUGCUGGGUAGCACUUGUAAUCUGGGUUGAAAAUUUUUUUCUUCCCCUUGUGAUGGUAAGUGGCUCACAAUUUGGCUUCUUUAGUUUAUAUUUUUCAAGGCUAAACAAUCAACAGCAAACAAAAUUGUGAAUGUUUUUACUGCACAUAAUAAAAUAGUUGCAAUGAAAAUGAAACUUGCUAGUUGGAUAAAGAAAGUUUAUUGUGGGAACCUUGGGUCAUUUGAGCCUCUUAGUUCAUUUUCAAGUGACAAAAAUAAGAGAUUAGUUUUGAAAUGAGUAACAACAUCAGUUCUCUUUCCUUUGAAGUGGAUUGCACCUGCCUGAGCAGAACACUCCGGAAUGAGGGUUCUCCCUGUAACUUCAGUAGCUUUAAGGCCUGAGAAAAUAAGCACAGACCUGUGGAGGAAAGAGGAGUAGGCAAAGAGAAUGGUUUAGUGGGUAGCUAGAAUUCCAGGUUAGGAGAUAAAGACACCUGACCGAGCAGAAAUGAGCAUGCCUCAUACAAGAUAGUGAGGAGGCAAGGUCAACCUGGUAAGAAGAAAAGACUCAUUUGUAUAUCAAUAUGUUCUGCUGAGUGUUUCACUUGCUUCGAAACAUCAACCUGUGAGCCAGUAAAGUCUUGUCUACAAGAUGUGGAGACUGUCUUAGCCAAGAUAGACAAUGGACAAAUGAAGGGAGUUACUGCCUGCGAAAGAAAGAAAGAAAGAUUAGCAAACAGACCUCUUUUCCAAUUCCAAUUCCUCUUCCCUUCUUUCCUACUCAAAACAGCUGGACUCUUGGACUCCUAUUACCUACCUCAGCAUUUUUCAAAACAGCAGGGCAAAUCCAUUGGUGGUAUCAUGACUAUCAUUAAGGAAGAGAAAGAGAGAGAAAGGAGAAGAAAAGAAAGGGCAGAGCAUGGAAAAUGUCAAGGUGCAUUUCACAUGGCAAAUUUAUAGAUUCUUUACCAUUGGAAUAUACAUUCACCAUGGUUUCGAACAGUGAGAAAGCAAAAUCGUUUUUGAGGAAGCAGAUGGUGAAAUAUGACAUGAAGCGUGACUCUGGGCAGAGAUAAGGAGCCUCCUUCUGAACUCCUUCUCUACCUGUUAGAGCCCACAAAAAUGUGUGUGUUUGAAAUUGAACUUCUCUGAGACCCUGUUCCAUUCAAGAGGCUGAUGAAAAAUGUGACCAUAUAGCUACAAAUGGAAGUCUCAGAGUGUGUGAAACAUAGCAACCAGGAGAGAGUUCCAAGGAAAUCACCCAGCAACAAUCAGGAAGUUGAAAACAAAGCAAUCCAGUAACCAAAACAUAACCCAGACCUGCCAAGAAGUCAAGGAAAGAAAAAACACUCCAUGCAGCGUGGAGAUGCUCUGUGUCAGGUUAAAGGCAGCAGAGUAACAAGACUUGUACUUGCUCACUCAUAUUUACUGUAUGCCUACUACAUGCCAGUGCUUUGAUGCAGGAAUUCUGAUUUGAACAAGAAACAGUCCCUGUCUUCAAUAAAAUAAUAAUAAUGUAUUCUUUAAACCCCAACAAUACAGUGUGGUAAAUGCAAAGGUA
This is a long non-coding RNA of Ailuropoda melanoleuca (giant panda), 1666 nucleotides long. Lineage: Eukaryota; Metazoa; Chordata; Mammalia; Carnivora; Ursidae. The record is from Ensembl.